UGGCUCAGGAUGAACGCUGGCGGCGUGCUUAACACAUGCAAGUCGAACGAAGAUAUUAAGAAUGAGAGCUUCGGCAGGAAUUUUUCUUAUCUUAGUGGCGGACGGGUGAGUAACGUGUGGGCAACCUGCCCUGCACUGGGGAAUAAUCAUUGGAAACGAUGACUAAUACCGCAUACGGUUCCUGGGAGGCAUCUUCCGGGAAAGAAAGGAUUUAUUCGGUGCAGGAUGGGCCCGCAUCUGAUUAGCUAGUUGGUGAGAUAACAGCCCACCAAGGCGACGAUCAGUAGCCGACCUGAGAGGGUGACCGGCCACAUUGGGACUGAGACACGGCCCAAACUCCUACGGGAGGCAGCAGUGGGGAAUAUUGCACAAUGGGCGAAAGCCUGAUGCAGCAACGCCGCGUGAAGGAAGAAGGGUUUCGGCUCGUAAACUUCUAUCAACAGGGACGAAAGAAAUGACGGUACCUGAAUAAGAAGCCCCGGCUAACUACGUGCCAGCAGCCGCGGUAAUACGUAGGGGGCAAGCGUUAUCCGGAAUUACUGGGUGUAAAGGGUGAGUAGGCGGCAUGGUAAGCCAGAUGUGAAAGCCUUGGGCUUAACCCGAGGAUUGCAUUUGGAACUAUCAAGCUAGAGUACAGGAGAGGAAAGCGGAAUUCCUAGUGUAGCGGUGAAAUGCGUAGAUAUUAGGAAGAACACCAGUGGCGAAGGCGGCUUUCUGGACUGAAACUGACGCUGAGGCACGAAAGCGUGGGGAGCGAACAGGAUUAGAUACCCUGGUAGUCCACGCCGUAAACGAUGAGUGCUAGGUGUCGGGGAGGAAUCCCCGGUGCCGCAGCUAACGCAAUAAGCACUCCACCUGGGGAGUACGACCGCAAGGUUGUAACUCAAAGGAAUUGACGGGGGCCCGCACAAGCGGUGGAGCAUGUGGUUUAAUUCGAAGCAACGCGAAGAACCUUACCAAGGCUUGACAUCGUGAUGACAGGCGUAGAGAUAUGCUUUCCCUUCGGGGCAUCGGAGACAGGUGGUGCAUGGUUGUCGUCAGCUCGUGUCGUGAGAUGUUGGGUUAAGUCCCGCAACGAGCGCAACCCUUACCCUUAGUAGCCAUCAUUAAGUUGGGCACUCUAGGGGGACUGCCGUGGAUAACACGGAGGAAGGUGGGGAUGACGUCAAAUCAUCAUGCCCCUUAUGUCUUGGGCUACACACGUGCUACAAUGGCUGGCAACAAAGUGAAGCGAGACGGCGACGUUAAGCAAAUCACAAAAACCAGUCCCAGUUCGGAUUGCAGUCUGCAACUCGACUGCAUGAAGCUGGAAUCGCUAGUAAUCGCGAAUCAGAAUGUCGCGGUGAAUACGUUCCCGGGCCUUGUACACACCGCCCGUCACACCAUGGGAGUUGGAAGCACCCGAAGUCGGUGACCUGACCGUAAGGAGGGAGCCGCCGAAGGUGAAGCCAGCGACUGGGGUGAAGUCGUAACAAGGUA
This 1479-nucleotide ribosomal RNA is filed under the name uncultured bacterium. Its description in RNAcentral is "16S ribosomal RNA". It matches the Rfam family "Bacterial small subunit ribosomal RNA". The record is from RNAcentral.